Molecule: long non-coding RNA, 1215 nt
Filed under: Astyanax mexicanus (Mexican tetra)
Lineage: Eukaryota; Metazoa; Chordata; Actinopteri; Characiformes; Acestrorhamphidae
Description: lncRNA (ENSAMXG00005002358.1)
Source: RNAcentral
GUUAAGCUACUUUGGGAAAUGAAACCCAAUGAAACAGUUGUUGCCAGCAUUGACCACACAGGAUCAUUUCUCUUAAAACUCUGCGAGUUUCAAACCCUCAAACCACACACGUGGCUUUGUGGAGAGGCCAUAGACUAUUAUUUAAGAACAAUGAAAAAAGAACUGGACCUGGCCAACAAAAUCUUUGUCUUGGACCAUUUGGUAACAAUGGCUGUUGUACUCGGACAACGCAAUGUCGUGAAACAUCAACUGAUGAAAACAGUGAGUACAAAAUGCUAUGUUUAGUAUAUUCAAACUGUAUUUAUACAUAAGUAAUCAUUUAUAUGUAUUUUUAUUUGUCCAGGUGCGUUUGGAAGAGUUUGAUGCCAUGAUUGGUGUUGUGAAUGUGAAAAACAAGCAGUAUUUCAUUUAAGUAUCUACAUAAACAAAAUCAAUCUGUGCUUUGGAUGGACCCAUUGGGGCAUAAAGAGAUGGAGAAGGCAGCAAAGGCUGGAGAAAGUUUCCGGGAGUUCUUCGAACUACGUAAACAACGGCUGAGGAGAAAAGAGUGGUCUGACAUUGGGUGGAAACCCAUCCUUAUUAAACACUCACUCCAGAAAGACGGCCAUAGUUGUGGAGUGUUUGUGAUGGAGAUGGAUAAGCAGCUAAUGAACUACUACCCCAGACUACCUGUAGACAUUCCAGUUGAUGUUUCAAAAAUAUCCACCUACAGGAUGGAAAUGGCUGCCGAAAUACUUUCUGGAACAGUGCCUCUUGAGGAUUCUUGUCAGUGGUGUGGCCAGAAUAAGUCCAAAGAUGGGGACAGGUACUGGGUAAGUACUGAGCAUAUUUGCACAAUUGUUUUUGAUACCAAAUGCCAAAUGCUAUACAAUUUAUUUAUACCUACAGGUGCAGUGUGGAACAUGCGAGAAAUGGCAGCAUAUCACCUGCACUGGCCUGUCCUACAAGGAAUACUGUAACAUAAAAAAGGUUUUUUGGCAGUGUUUUAUAUGUAGAACAGCGGACCAGUAAUGUACGCCAUGGGAAAUGAGAAAUUGCAAUAUUGAAAAGACGUCAUGUACUGACUUUUUUUUUAUUUACCUAAAGUACCUUUUUUUACAUAGGUUUCUAAUUUUUUGAAACUUUUUUUUUUUUUAAAAUUUUUUAUUUUUUGGGUUCCAUUGGCUGUGAGCCAUAAUCAACAACAAAUGGAAUAAACGCUUAUAAUAGAUCUCA